GAUGAACGUUGGCGGUGUGCCUAAUACAUGCAAGUCGAACGGAGACUGUAGCAAUACUGUCUUAGUGGCGAACGGGUGAGUAACGCGUUGGUGAUCUGCCUCGAAGUGUGGAAUAACCUCCCGAAAGGGAAGCUAAUACCGCAUAGUCUCUCAAGGUUUAGAAAAUUGAGAGUAAAGGAUUUAUUCGCUUCGAGAGGAGCCUGCGUCCCAUCAGCUAGUUGGUAGGGUAACGGCCUACCAAGGCAAUGACGGGUAGGGGACCUGAGAGGGUGGCCCCCCACAAUGGAACUGAAACACGGUCCAUACACCUACGGGUGGCAGCAGUAGGGAAUAUUAGAAAUGGGCGGAAGCCUGAACCAGCCAUGCCGCGUGCGGGAUGAAGGCCCUACGGGUUGUAAACCGCUUUUCCCCGGGAAGAAUAAGCCCCCGCGGGGGUGAUGCCGGUACCGGGGGAAUAAGGAUCGGCUAACUCCGUG
Molecule: ribosomal RNA, 476 nt
Filed under: uncultured bacterium
Lineage: Bacteria
Description: bacterial SSU rRNA
Rfam family: Bacterial small subunit ribosomal RNA
Source: RNAcentral